This 69-nucleotide transfer RNA is filed under the name Ictidomys tridecemlineatus (thirteen-lined ground squirrel). RNAcentral's name for it is "Spermophilus tridecemlineatus (thirteen-lined ground squirrel) tRNA". It matches the Rfam family "tRNA". From Rfam's summary of the family: Transfer RNA (tRNA) molecules are approximately 80 nucleotides in length. Their secondary structure includes four short double-helical elements and three loops (D, anti-codon, and T loops). The record is from Rfam by way of RNAcentral. Lineage: Eukaryota; Metazoa; Chordata; Mammalia; Rodentia; Sciuridae.
GGGGAUGUGGCUCAAGUGGUAGAGCACUCGCCUGGCAUGCGUGCGGCCUGAGUUCAAUCCUCAGCACCG